CGACACACAACCUGCAAAGCAAGAGUGAUCGGUCCUAAGGCUAAGACGUCUUAAGUCAUCUUUCCUUGCCCAGCCCCACGCUGUUAACAGCCUUGUCUCCUCCUCCAGGACCUCAGACAGGUUAAGAAUAAGUUAAGAAGUUGUCAUUCCUACCAAGAAAAGAGGGGCAUUGAGUGAGUCUGCUGUUAUCUGCUCUUCAUGGGACCCUGCUAGCAGAUUUCAUCCAUGCACAACGUUUUGUUCUAAGACAACGGAAGAGGACUUUUAGCAGGAGACAGCACAACAGGGCUUAAGCAUAGAAAGCAAACACAAUGACUAACGUGUGUCAGUGUCCAAGACUUAAGCUGGCUGCAAGAAAAUUCAGAAAAGUUUAAAGACUACGAGCUCCUAGAGAACAGGGCCGGUGGCUUCUCCCCCAUGUCCUUAGUGCAGCACAAAGAACAGAUGCCAAAUGCCUGGGAAUUAGUAGACAAUUAUUUGUUGAACAAAGAAAUGAACGAAUCUUCCGAGAAGAUCCUCCAGUAAUUCAAUCCGCUAGGAUGGAAACGGAGAUACGCGUGCUGAGAUUAAGUUCAGUCGAGUAAAUCGCAUAAUGGCAGGUAAGGAGAGAAAUACCCUUUCAUAGUUCUAUACAUUGGAGGAGGUUUGAUCAUGAAAAUUACAGGGUGUUGGUUCCCAGCGCUGACCUACUGGCAUUAACAUAAACAGUCAGUGCUCUACUUACAAGCUCUAUUCCUUAUUCUUUUAAUAGUCUUCAACAAACACUUGUUGACUUGAGUGGUUGUAAUGGCUACCACUAGGAAAACAGAAAAUUUGGGGGUGAGACUGGAGAAAAAAAAUAGUACUUGUGUAUUCCAUGACGUUUAAUGUAUGUUUCUCUAUUGUUUAAUGCAUUAAAAUUUUCUUGAAAAUACAUUAUUAAAUAGAAUGUUAAAUCAGUCUACAAAGUUACCUUUCCCUCUUUCAGGCCUAUUUUAGGACAUAGCUUACAAAAACUACUUGGCUAUAAUACAAAAUUCUGGUAAGAAUACUCAAAACAGAAUUAUCCAACCCUUGGAAAAAGUGAGAUAACUCAUAGUUGGAGGAAUUCAAGAUUUAGAGGGGAAGGACCGCUAAUACGUUUAGCUAAGAGCACAGGAAAAUAAUCAGUGCAUCUUAAAGAGAACUGAUCUGACAUUUAAGUAUAAUUAUCACCAAAGCUCUGAUAUCUUUAUUAUGUUUUCCUCACAAAACCUUACCAAAGACACGGGCGUAUCACUUUUCACAGCAGCGUAUUACCUAUUACCCCCCCGUAAUCGCCUGGACUGCCCGGAAACAGCAGAGUCACCUGCUAACCCUGAGCGAUUCUGCAACCGCUUGCUUCAGUCUUCAGACCACAGCCAGGCCACCAGCGCAGCCACGCGGCCCUCCAGUGCGCAAAGGGGCACUCCCAAUCACCUUUGCACCCCGUGCCCUCACGGCAGGAAAAGCUGCUGAUGUAAUUAUUUCUGUAAUUGUUCAGAAGUGUAUAUUGUUUAAACCGCCCCACCUUUUAGGGAGUUGCAGAAGAAGACCUUUCAUCUUUCAUAAAGCCUUCCCUCUCUGUAUUUACAUACACUGUGAUUUUCCUCCGAACAGGUUCACUGAUUUUCAUUACGAAUUCCUAAGAAGCAAAUAAAUGCAAGUGUUCAUCCAAAAGUGCCUUGAUUUAGCACCUACCUGGUGGCAGACAAUAAGCCAGACGUCAGGGAUCUACAGAGCCGGCAUCACAGUCCCCACCCUGGGGAAUUCCCAGGCCAGAGUGGGAAGUGAUUCUCCCUCGGGCUGCGAAUCAGUAAUAGGUACAAGUGUGCACGGGUGUGACAGGUUAAGGCUUCCGAGAGGGCCUUCCAGGAGGGAAUUUUUGUGAAGAAUCGAAGAUAACGAGGCAGAGAAAACAGGAGGGCAUCCAGGGAGAGAGAAUAGCACACGGCUUACCAGGACACGAACCACGAGUGACUGGCGUGGCCGGGGAUGGCGGAGAGGCAGGCAGGGACCAGAUGGCCACACCCCAGACUUCUGGGCCUAUCAGCUCACUUCUCUUCAGCCUUAGGGGCAGAAGACUUUGAAGAGCAUGACGGUGACCACGUCACUGCCUACUUCCUGAGGACUCAGCCACGCGUGCUCCUUUCGUUCAUCUGCAUGUAUCCAUGCCCCACCGCAUAUGAUGCACGCGGCGUUUUGUUGGAAAGGACAUGGCUCUGAAGUUAAAAGGAUCUGCCGAAAUAAUUGUUUCAACUAGAGUUUAAAAACCAUCAAACAGGGGCGCCUGGGUGUCUCAGUCGGUUGAGCGUCUGACUGACAUUCUCGGCUCAGGUCACAAUCUCGAGGUUCGUGAGUUCGAGCCCC
Long non-coding RNA from Prionailurus viverrinus (fishing cat), 2367 nucleotides. RefSeq lists it as uncharacterized. The record is from RefSeq and is a predicted model, not a curated record. NCBI's taxonomy places the organism in Eukaryota, Metazoa, Chordata, Mammalia, Carnivora, Felidae. The transcript has 5 exons.